ACGACGGAUAUGGGUUGUGAGAGCAAGAGCCCAGAGAUGGAUUCUGAGACAUGAAUCCAGGCCCUACGGGGCGCAGCAGGCGCGAAAACUUUACAAUGCGGGAAACCGCGAUAAGGGGACGCCGAGUGCCAGCAUUUAUGUUGGCUGUCCACAUGUGUAAACGGCAUGUGUUAGCAAGGGCCGGGCAAGACCGGUGCCAGCCGCCGCGGUAACACCGGCGGCCCGAGUGGUAAUCACUUUUAUUGGGUCUAAAGGGUCCGUAGCCGGUUUGAUCAGUUCUUCGGGAAAUCUGACAGCUCAACUGUUAGGCUUCCGGGGAAUACUGUCAGACUUGGGACCGGGAGAGGUAAGAGGUACUACAGGGGUAGGAGUGAAAUCUUGUAAUCCCUGUGGGACCACCAGUGGCGAAGGCGUCUUACCAGAACGGGUCCGACGGUGAGGGACGAAAGCUGGGGGCACGAACCGGAUUAGAUACCCGGGUAGUCCCAGCCGUAAACGAUGUUCGCUAGGUGUCAGGGGCGGUGCGACCGCUUCUGGUGCCGUAGGGAA
RNAcentral lists this ribosomal RNA (549 nucleotides) under uncultured Methanosarcinales archaeon. Its description in RNAcentral is "bacterial SSU rRNA". It matches the Rfam family "Archaeal small subunit ribosomal RNA", at positions 260 to 810 of the family's 1478-position model. Lineage: Archaea; Methanobacteriati; Methanobacteriota; Methanomicrobia; Methanosarcinales. The record is from RNAcentral.